This 216-nucleotide ribosomal RNA is filed under the name uncultured Glomeromycotina. RNAcentral's name for it is "partial 18S ribosomal RNA". The stretch from base 47 to 216 matches the Rfam family "Eukaryotic small subunit ribosomal RNA", at positions 693 to 864 of the family's 1831-position model. The record is from RNAcentral. Lineage: Eukaryota; Fungi; Glomeromycota.
GGAUCAGUAGGUCGGUCAUGCCUCUGGUAUGUACUGGCCUCACUGGUUCCUCCUUCCUGAUGAACUGUAAUGCCAUUAAUUUGGUGUUGCGGGGAGACUGGACUGUUACUUUGAAAAAAUUAGAGUGUUUAAAGCAGGCUUACGCUUGAAUACAUUAGCAUGGAAUAAUGAAAUAGGACGUUCGAUCCUAUUUUGUUGGUUUCUAGGAUUGACGUA